RNAcentral lists this ribosomal RNA (345 nucleotides) under uncultured Streptococcus sp. RNAcentral describes it as "bacterial SSU rRNA". It matches the Rfam family "Bacterial small subunit ribosomal RNA", at positions 1036 to 1382 of the family's 1533-position model. Lineage: Bacteria; Bacillati; Bacillota; Bacilli; Lactobacillales; Streptococcaceae. The record is from RNAcentral.
AGGUGGUGCAUGGUGUCGUCAGCUCGUGUCGUGAGAUGUUGGGUUAAGUCCCGCAACGAGCGCAACCCCUAUUGUUAGUUGCCAUCAUUCAGUUGGGCACUCUAGCGAGACUGCCGGUAAUAAACCGGAGGAAGGUGGGGAUGACGUCAAAUCAUCAUGCCCCUUAUGACCUGGGCUACACACGUGCUACAAUGGUUGGUACAACGAGUUGCGAGUCGGUGACGGCGAGCUAAUCUCUUAAAAGCCAAUCUCAGUUCGGAUUGUAGGCUGCAACUCGCCUACAUGAAGUCGGAAUCGCUAGUAAUCGCGGAUCAGCACGCCGCGGUGAAUACGUUCCCGGGCCUU